AGGAGGACUCCGAAGUCUGCGCUUUGAAAUAAAAGAGCUGGAGCUGAGUAGCAGCUAUGCUCUUGGAUGGAGUUCGAGCUCUCCUGCUGCCCCAGCCCCACGGACCUGGGCUGACCGCCCUGUGACUCCGGGCAGCCCCGCAUCUGUCCGGGCCAUGGGUUCAUCUACAGCGUGGAAACACCGGGGCCCCGGCAGCACGAUGCUGAGAGAAGCCACACACAGAGCGCCAUGAAUCACCUGACCACGUCCCAGCCCCAACGCCAGGGCCAGGGCUGAAGCCGGAGGGCUGCUAAUGACCGAGCGAUUCCAUUCAACGGGAAGCCACUGAGAUGAACGCUGCAGACAGCGCCCUGGGAGCCCAGAGCUGCUGUGGGAUGAGAAUUCAGCCCUAAUGCCGAACAGCCUCAGCCCUAAGCACCCAACCCACUCAGCCCGCCCAUCUCCCACCGAGCGGCCACCUGGGAUAAUCACGCCUUUCACGUACUCCUCCUCUUCAGAAUCUUCUAUGCUCUGCAACUCCCAGGACCCUCAUGUGUGGCCACAUUACCCAAGAUGGCACCCAAGAUGCUGUCUGUAGCUAUGGUUCUAAGGGAACAUUCCCUUGGGUCCCCCAAGCCUGCAACACACAGUCUCCUGGAGUAGAGAAAGCCGCAGAUGAGGAAGGACACCCCACGGGUUGCA
Long non-coding RNA from Fukomys damarensis (Damara mole-rat), 681 nucleotides. RefSeq lists it as uncharacterized. The record is from RefSeq and is a predicted model, not a curated record. The transcript has 3 exons. NCBI's taxonomy places the organism in Eukaryota, Metazoa, Chordata, Mammalia, Rodentia, Bathyergidae.